AUGGUAGGAUAGAGGCCUACCAUGGUGGUAACGGGUAACGGGGUGUUAGGGCACGACACCGGAGAGGGAGCCUGAGAAACGGCUACCACAUCCAAGGAUGGCAGCAGGCGCGCAAAUUACCCAAUCCCGACACGGGGAGGUAGUGACAAUAAAUAACAAUACGGGGUUCUUUAGGAUCUCGUAAUUGGAAUGAGUACAAUUUAAAUCUCUUAACGAGGAACAAUUGGAGGGCAAGUCUGGUGCCAGCAGCCGCGGUAAUUCCAGCUCCAAUAGCGUAUAUUAAAGUUGUUGCAGUUAAAAAGCUCGUAGUUGAAUUUCGGGGUCAGUAGGUCGGUCGUGCCACUGGUAUGAACUGGUUUUACUGAUUCCUCCCUCUUGAAGAACUGUAAUGCCAUUAAUUUGGUGUUGCAGGGAAUCAGGACUGUUACUUUGAAAAAAUUAGAGUGUUUAAAGCAGGCUUUAGCUUGAAUACAUUAGCAUGGAAUAAUGAAAUAGGACGUUUGAUCCUAUUUUGUUGGUUUCUAGGAUUGACGUAAUAAUUAAUAGGGAUAGUUGGGGGCAUUAGUAUUCAAUUGUCAGAGGUGAAAUUCUUGGAUUUAUUGAAGACUAACUACUGCGAAAGCAUUUGCCAAGGAUGUUUUCAUUAAUCAAGAACGAAAGUUAGGGGAUCGAAGACGAUCAGAUACCGUCGUAGUCUUAACCAUAAACUAUGCCGACUAGGGAUCGGAUGAUGUUAAUUUUUUAAUGACUCAUUCGGCGCCUUACGGGAAACCAAAGUGUUUGGG
This 785-nucleotide ribosomal RNA is filed under the name uncultured Glomus. RNAcentral's name for it is "SSU rRNA". It matches the Rfam family "Eukaryotic small subunit ribosomal RNA", at positions 325 to 1111 of the family's 1831-position model. Lineage: Eukaryota; Fungi; Glomeromycota; Glomeromycetes; Glomerales; Glomeraceae. The record is from RNAcentral.